Molecule: long non-coding RNA, 388 nt
Organism: Culex pipiens pallens (northern house mosquito)
Lineage: Eukaryota; Metazoa; Arthropoda; Insecta; Diptera; Culicidae
Exons: 3
Source: RefSeq, a predicted model, not a curated record
CAAGCUUAGUCGGUUUGGUUUGCUCGCGAAACCAAAACACUAAACUCAACCGAUUCUCCACCGGGGGACAUUUGAGGUCCUGGCCAGACGUUCCGGGGAACGGCAAAUUGGUCCCAACGAUCGGGUUAUUUAUUUAUGUGAUUUAUCAAUUUAUUUUUCUGCCCUGGCCAGGGGGCUCCGGAAAAACGCGUUGCGUUGUGGCACUUGAUAGGAGGAGAUUUUAGACGACAACCCGCGAACAAUCUGCCUUUGACAACGCGCAUCGGAAAAUCCCGGGUGGAAAACGCGGCGAAAAAAUCAGCUCGUCGACGGCAAUAAAAGCAGAUUAUAAGCUCGUAUCGGUCAGCAGUUGAACAAUAAAAAUGGGACCAAAGAAGGCAAAAGGAAG